UUAAUCUCUUCUUUUCGAUUGGAUUCGCUUGGUCGUAAUGACUCUGAAUCCAUUCAGCAUCGGUCAACUUGGGACUUUGAGGGUGCUAUUUCUCUUUUGUUUCUUUCUUUCUUUUUUCUUUUGAUUUGAUUUCUUUUGAUUUUGCACCCUCCUCUUUUCCUUUUUCUUUUUUUUUUGUUUUUUUUUUGUUUUUUUUUAAAUGCCCCAGUUGUCUGUUCUGCUGAUUCUCGAGAUGCAGUUGAGUGAUCUUCUUUUCUUGCUCAAGAAGUCGGGAAAUCUCGUCAGGAAUCCCUUCAACAUCAUCUUC
This 307-nucleotide long non-coding RNA is filed under the name Lathyrus oleraceus (garden pea). Its description in RNAcentral is "Pisum sativum (pea) long non-coding RNA (PSAT_LNC020229)". Lineage: Eukaryota; Viridiplantae; Streptophyta; Magnoliopsida; Fabales; Fabaceae. The record is from RNAcentral.